This 2035-nucleotide long non-coding RNA is filed under the name Triticum aestivum (bread wheat). Its description in RNAcentral is "long non-coding RNA (TAES_LNC026726)". Lineage: Eukaryota; Viridiplantae; Streptophyta; Magnoliopsida; Poales; Poaceae. The record is from RNAcentral.
UCCGAUCAAAAUAAUUCAACAGAAAAAGUAGUACACAUGUACAACAAGACGAUGGAAUUAAACCAAGGCCUAGCUCAAUGGAAAAUUGAACAGAAUCAUGAAAGGCAGAAGCACAAGGUUCGGAAAUCAGAACAAAACAAAAAUAAUCUGGAGCAGAUCACAGAGUGAAACAACUGACAUCUUCCAAAGUGAAGCAAAGCACAUUUGAAACUAACUAGAAUACGGCUGGACUUCUAAAAUUCUUAGAAUGUGUUAAAAGCUCGCAAUGAAAUAUUGCCCUGGAAACUAAAUUCAGUAAAAACUUGACAAAGCUGAUAUAAUACAACCUUCCAUCCAUACGGCAAUCUGUAGUCGGUAAAUCUCCAAGUCAUGUCAGAACCAAUGUUCGUAGACUGUCGAUGUAUAAUCUGAGAGUGGAGAACCAAUGUUGCCAUAAAUAAGAACCAAUGGCACUUGGUUUCGCACCAAUCUACUGUCAGUAGAUCAAGAAACUGCAAAUUUUACAUUUACAUUGCUACAACAACACAAUCAUUUUGCAGAGAUUAGGAGAACCAUCUAGUACCAUCAAACUGCUACAGAAAAUCAGCAAAAUGCAUCAUCGGCCUACUGUCGGUGGAUUAUCGGCCUAAAAUCUUACUGUACAUUAUUUAUUAUUACUACUAUAAGGAGCACAACUGUAUGGCAGAGAUUAGUAACAACUAUACAUCACAGCAGAAAUAAUUUCAUUACUUUUGAAGUCUCGGUUUACAAGAGGAAUCACAAAUUCAGUUCUUGCAACCAAAGAGCCAAGCAAUAAUUGGACUAAAAUAAGAUCAGGUUGACCUCCAGAUGCUCCUGCAAAUUCAUCUGCAAGAAAUGUCAUAUUACCAAUAGUUGCAAGUAUAGUACAGUUCUACCAUGAACCUUACACUAGCAGUAGCAGCUGUUAACUAACAAACGACCACGGAUAUAACAACACACUUGAACCCCAACUGAAUAUUACAACUCAAUAUUACAUUGGCAUUAUUAUUUAAUAAUUAUCACAAUAUGUAGAGUCGGAUUACAGUUGUUUGUUUUCUCGCGCACAUUUUAGGAGAAAUAAUUAGUUCAGGGUGUUGAGCGAAGCACAAUGGUUAAACAGAGUUUCAUUGAUGCCCUUUUCCCUCUACAAUCAGUGCUCAAAGAAGCCGGUUGUACACCAAGUUGCUGACAGGAGAUUAAUAAGAGCUGAUGACACACUGCUCUGAAUACUUUGUAAUUGGCUAUACAAAAGAUAUGAACGUUUCACAACUGGGUUGAUGAAGACCCUUUCUGGAGCAUAAAUAUUUUUUCCCUUUUUGAUGAUUUAUGUAGGAAUCAAACUGUAAAAUUCCUGCUUCCGAAGAUGGCCAUUGCAACAAUAAACUUAAAAAGCGUUUGAUCAUAUAUUUUUAUUCUGCACUACAACUCCACGCAUCUAUGAUUUACUACAUAUACUUACUAAUGAGUACUACUGUACUAAUUAUUCCCAAUUAUGUGAACAAGGAUCCAGUAGAGAAAACCAAUCUUGUUGAGAUGACUAGGUGAGCAGUCAUCUCAUUUCCUGCUACUCUGCUUCUGAGCCUGGUGCUGCUCCUGUGCAGCUGUGCGGACGUGAUGGCCAACAUCGAGAUUGGCGACCCCCGCGGCUUUCUCCGGCGAGCAGCUGGCUAACGCAACCCGUAGAGACCGCACGGCCGCGUCCGGCCGCCCGGCCCCGAGCGCAGCGCACGCCUCGCCCAUGACUCCAACACCGGCAUGCUCGGUCGAGGUCUAGAACCCUAGACUAUGACCAACAAAGGGGGACGGGAGGGGACGGGAGGGGGCAGUGCGGAAUUACAUACCAGAGAAAAGGAAGGGAGGCACUCAGGCCGGCGUGGAGGAGGCUGCGGACGGUGGCGCGUGGAGAAGCUGGUGGCGGCGGGGUGGAUGAGGCGUGCGCUGCGCUCGGGGAUGUGCUUCCGCGAGCCCCUCGACGAGGGUCCUGAAACGCGUGGGUAGGAGGGGAUUGAAGGGGAAAGAAGAGAAUUGGGCUGCG